This 629-nucleotide ribosomal RNA is filed under the name Mucor circinelloides. RNAcentral's name for it is "partial large subunit ribosomal RNA". It matches the Rfam family "Eukaryotic large subunit ribosomal RNA", at positions 68 to 619 of the family's 3401-position model. The record is from RNAcentral. Lineage: Eukaryota; Fungi; Mucoromycota; Mucoromycetes; Mucorales; Mucoraceae.
ACAAUGAUUUCCCUAGUAACGGCGAGUGAAGAGGAAAGAGCUCAAAGUUGGAAACUGUUUGGCUUAGCUAAACCGUAUUGUAAACUGUAGAAACAUUUUCCUGGCACGCCGGAUUAAUAAGUCCUUUGGAACAAGGCAUCAUGGAGGGUGAGAAUCCCGUCUUUGAUCCGAGUAGUUGUCUUUUGUGAUAUGUUUUCAAAGAGUCAGGUUGUUUGGGAAUGCAGCCUAAAUUGGGUGGUAAAUCUCACCUAAAGCUAAAUAUUUGCGAGAGACCGAUAGCGAACAAGUACCGUGAGGGAAAGAUGAAAAGAACUUUGAAAAGAGAGUUAAACAGUAUGUGAAAUUGUUAAAAGGGAACCGUUUGGAGCCAGACUGGUUUGACUGUAAUCAACCUAGAAUUCGUUCUGGGUGCACUUGCAGUCUAUACCUGCCAACAACAGUUUGAUUUGGAGGAAAAAAUUAGUAGGAAUGUAGCCUCUCGAGGUGUUAUAGCCUACUAUCAUACUCUGGAUUGGACUGAGGAACGCAGCGAAUGCCUUUAGGCGAGAUUGCUGGGUGCUUUCGCUAAUAAAUGUUAGAAUUUCUGCUUCGGGUGGUGCUAAUGUUUAAAGGAGGAACACAUCUAGUAU